This 505-nucleotide ribosomal RNA is filed under the name uncultured bacterium. RNAcentral's name for it is "partial 16S ribosomal RNA". It matches the Rfam family "Bacterial small subunit ribosomal RNA", at positions 28 to 507 of the family's 1533-position model. The record is from RNAcentral.
GACGAACGCUGGCGGCGUGCCUAAUACAUGCAAGUAGAACGCACAGUUUAUACCGUAGCUUGCUACACCAUAGACUGUGAGUUGCGAACGGGUGAGUAACGCGUAGGUAACCUGCCUGGUAGCGGGGGAUAACUAUUGGAAACGAUAGCUAAUACCGCAUAAUAUUAAUUAUUGCAUGAUAAUUAAUUGAAAGGUGCAAUUGCACCACUACCAGAUGGACCUGCGUUGUAUUAGCUAGUAGGUGAGGUAACGGCUCACCUAGGCGACGAUACAUAGCCGACCUGAGAGGGUGAUCGGCCACACUGGGACUGAGACACGGCCCAGACUCCUACGGGAGGCAGCAGUAGGGAAUCUUCGGCAAUGGACGAAAGUCUGACCGAGCAACGCCGCGUGAGUGAAGAAGGUUUUCGGAUCGUAAAGCUCUGUUGUAAGGGAAGAACGGGUGUGAGAGUGGAAAGUUCACACUGUGACGGUAACUUACCAGAAAGGGACGGCUAACUACGUG